GGGGGGCUUGCCGUCCAGCAAACUGGUAACACCCACAGGCGAAGACAAAUCGAGUUGCGGGAUUACGGGUUCGGCCGAUGGCGCAAGCCUUCGUCGGGCCCCUCCAUCCCAGGGUGUCCCGGUACGGGUGCUUGCACCCAGCGGACAUCCCCGGAGUGCGUAUGAUGUGACCCGAAAGAUGGUGAACUAUGCCUGAUCAGGUCGAAGUCAGGGGAAACCCUGAUGGAGGACCGAAGCAAUUCUGACGUGCAAAUCGAUUGUCAGAGUUGGGCAUAGGGGCGAAAG
RNAcentral lists this ribosomal RNA (285 nucleotides) under Anopheles varuna. RNAcentral's name for it is "partial 28S ribosomal RNA". It matches the Rfam family "Eukaryotic large subunit ribosomal RNA", at positions 675 to 929 of the family's 3401-position model. The record is from RNAcentral. Lineage: Eukaryota; Metazoa; Arthropoda; Insecta; Diptera; Culicidae.